GCGCCCGUAGCUCAGGGGAUAGAGCGAGGGAUUCCUAAUCCCUAGGUCGCAGGUUCGAUUCCUGCCGGGCGUACCA
RNAcentral lists this transfer RNA (76 nucleotides) under Acidobacteriota bacterium. RNAcentral describes it as "Acidobacteria bacterium tRNA-Arg". It matches the Rfam family "tRNA". From Rfam's summary of the family: Transfer RNA (tRNA) molecules are approximately 80 nucleotides in length. Their secondary structure includes four short double-helical elements and three loops (D, anti-codon, and T loops). RNAcentral also lists the same sequence under 1 other name. The record is from RNAcentral. Lineage: Bacteria; Pseudomonadati; Acidobacteriota.